CGUGAGUGAUGAAGGCUUUCGGGUCGUAAAGCUCUGUCAAGUGGGAAGAACCUGUAGAGUGUUAAUAUCAUUUUACACUGACGGUACCACUAAAGGAAGCACCGGCUAACUCCGUGCCAGCAGCCGCGGUAAUACGGGGGUGCAAGCGUUAUUCGGAAUCAUUGGGCGUAAAGGGCGCGUAGGCGGCCUGUUAAGUCAGAUGUGAAAGCCCGGGGCUCAACCUCGGAAGUGCAUUUGAAACUAAUAGGCUUGAGUAUGGGAGAGGGAAGUGGAAUUCCUGGUGUAGAGGUGAAAUUCGUAGAUAUCAGGAGGAACACCGGUGGCGAAGGCGACUUCCUGGACCAAUACUGACGCUGAGGCGCGAAGGCGUGGGUAGCAAACAGGAUUAGAUACCCUGGUAGUCCACGCAGUAAACGUUGUUCACUAGGUGUAGCGGGUAUUGACCCCUGCUGUGCCGCAGUUAACGCAUUAA
This 472-nucleotide ribosomal RNA is filed under the name uncultured delta proteobacterium. Its description in RNAcentral is "bacterial SSU rRNA". It matches the Rfam family "Bacterial small subunit ribosomal RNA", at positions 400 to 863 of the family's 1533-position model. Lineage: Bacteria; Deltaproteobacteria. The record is from RNAcentral.